AUUGAACGCUGGCGGCAUGCCUUACACAUGCAAGUCGAACGGCAGCACGGGUGCUUGCACCUGGUGGCGAGUGGCGAACGGGUGAGUAAUACAUCGGAACAUGUCCUGUAGUGGGGGAUAGCCCGGCGAAAGCCGGAUUAAUACCGCAUACGAACCACGGAUGAAAGCGGGGGACCUUCGGGCCUCGCGCUAUCGGGUUGGCCGAUGGCUGAUUAGCUAGUUGGUGGGGUAAAGGCCUACCAAGGCGACGAUCAGUAGCUGGUCUGAGAGGACGACCAGCCACACUGGGACUGAGACACGGCCCAGACUCCUACGGGAGGCAGCAGUGGGGAAUUUUGGACAAUGGGCGAAAGCCUGAUCCAGCAAUGCCGCGUGUGUGAAGAAGGCCUUCGGGUUAUAAAGCACUUUUGUCCGGAAAGAAAACCUUGACUCUAAUACAGUCGGGGGAUGACGGUACCGGAAGAAUAAGCACCGGCUAACUACGUG
This 486-nucleotide ribosomal RNA is filed under the name uncultured bacterium. Its description in RNAcentral is "partial 16S ribosomal RNA". It matches the Rfam family "Bacterial small subunit ribosomal RNA", at positions 30 to 507 of the family's 1533-position model. The record is from RNAcentral.